Molecule: ribosomal RNA, 306 nt
Filed under: Rhodococcoides fascians
Lineage: Bacteria; Bacillati; Actinomycetota; Actinomycetes; Mycobacteriales; Nocardiaceae
Description: bacterial SSU rRNA
Rfam family: Bacterial small subunit ribosomal RNA
Source: RNAcentral
CAUGCAGUCGAGCGGUAAGGCCUUUCGGGGUCACGAGCGGCGAACGGGUGAGUAACACGUGGGUGAUCUGCCCUGCACUCUGGGAUAAGCUUGGGAAACUGGGUCUAAUACCGGAUAUGACCGCAUGCCGCAUGUUGUGUGGUGGAAAGAUUUAUCGGUGCAGGAUGGGCCCGCGGCCUAUCAGCUUGUUGGUGGGGUAAUGGCCUACCAAGGCGACGACGGGUAGCCGACCUGAGAGGGUGACCGGCCACACUGGGACUGAGACACGGCCCAGACUCCUACGGGAGGCGGCAGUGGGGAAUAUUG